CAGCCGCCGCGGUAAAACGGAGGGUGCAAGCGUUAAUCGGAAUUACUGGGCGUAAAGCGCACGCAGGCGGUCUGACAAGUCAGAUGUGAAAUCCCCGGGCUUAACCUGGGAACUGCAUUUGAAACUGUCAGGCUGGAGUCUUGUAGAGGGGGGUAGAAUUCCAGGUGUAGCGGUGAAAUGCGUAGAGAUCUGGAGGAAUACCGGUGGCGAAGGCGGCCCCCUGGACAAAGACUGACGCUCAGGUGCGAAAGCGUGGGGAGCAAACAGGAUUAGAGACCCCAGUAGUCCCUGUCUCUUAUAC
Molecule: ribosomal RNA, 301 nt
Filed under: uncultured bacterium
Lineage: Bacteria
Description: partial 16S ribosomal RNA
Rfam family: Bacterial small subunit ribosomal RNA
Source: RNAcentral